GACGGAGGGGGCUAGCGUUGUUCGGAAUGACUGGGCGUAAAGGGCGCGUAGGCGGUCAAUCAAGUCAGGCGUGAAAGCCUCGGGCUUAACCCGAGAACUGCGCUUGAUACUGGUUAACUAGAGGACGAGAGAGGAAAGUGGAAUUCCGAGUGUAGAGGUGAAAUUCGUAGAUAUUCGGAGGAACAUCAGUGGCGAAGGCGGCUUUCUGGCUCGUAACUGACGCUGAGGCGCGAAAGCGUGGGGAGCAAACAGG
Molecule: ribosomal RNA, 253 nt
Filed under: uncultured bacterium
Lineage: Bacteria
Description: partial 16S ribosomal RNA
Rfam family: Bacterial small subunit ribosomal RNA
Source: RNAcentral